ACGCGUAGACAACCUGCCUAUAACAGGGGGAUAACCCCGCGAAAGCGGGGCUAAUACCCCAUGAUGCAGCGGCCCCGCAUGGGGACAGUUGUUAAAGUUUCGGUGUAAGCCGGAAUGGUUAUAGAUGGGUCUGCGUGCCAUUAGUUAGUUGGUAGGGUAACGGCCUACCAAGGCGAUGAUGGCUAGGGGGUCUGAGAGGAUGAUCCCCCACACUGGGACUGAGACACGGCCCAGACUCCUACGGGAGGCAGCAGUGAGGAAUCUUGCGCAAUGGGGGAAACCCUGACGCAGCCACGCCGCGUGCUGGAAGAAGGUCCUAUGGAUUGUAAACAGCUUUUAUUCGGGAAGAAAGUACGGGGUUUGCCCUGUAUUGACGGUACCGUUUGAAUAAGCACCGGCUAACUCCGUGCCAGCAC
Molecule: ribosomal RNA, 416 nt
Filed under: uncultured bacterium
Lineage: Bacteria
Description: bacterial SSU rRNA
Rfam family: Bacterial small subunit ribosomal RNA
Source: RNAcentral